Molecule: ribosomal RNA, 793 nt
Filed under: uncultured bacterium
Lineage: Bacteria
Description: bacterial SSU rRNA
Rfam family: Bacterial small subunit ribosomal RNA
Source: RNAcentral
AGAGUUUGAUCCUGGCUCAGAUUGAACGCUGGCGGAAUGCUUUACACAUGCAAGUCGAACGGGCUUGAGAGGCUUGCUUCUCAAGUUAGUGGCGAACGGGUGAGUAAUGCGUCGGAACGUACCGAGUAAUGGGGGAUAACGCACCGAAAGGUGUGCUAAUACCGCAUACGCCCUAAGGGGGAAAGCAGGGGAUCGCAAGACCUUGCGUUAUUCGAGCGGCCGACGUCUGAUUAGCUAGUUGGUGAGGUAAUGGCUCACCAAGGCGACGAUCAGUAGCGGGUCUGAGAGGAUGAUCCGUCACACUGGGACUGAGACACGGCCCAGACUCCUACGGGAGGCAGCAGUGGGGAAUUUUGGACAAUGGGGGAAACCCUGAUCCAGCCAUUCCGCGUGAGUGAAGAAGGCCUUCGGGUUGUAAAGCUCUUUCAGCGGGAACGAAACGGUGUGCUCUAACAUAGCGCGCUAAUGACGGUACCCGCAGAAGAAGCACCGGCUAACUACGUGCCAGCAGCCGCGGUAAUACGUAGGGUGCGAGCGUUAAUCGGAAUUACUGGGCGUAAAGCGUGCGCAGGCGGUUAUGUAAGACAGAUGUGAAAUCCCCGGGCUCAACCUGGGACCUGCAUUUGUGACUGCAUAGCUAGAGUACGGUAGAGGGGGGUGGAAUUCCGCGUGUAGCAGUGAAAUGCGUAGAUAUGCGGAGGAACACCGAUGGCGAAGGCAAUCCCCUGGACCUGUACUGACGCUCAUGCACGAAAGCGUGGGGAGCAGACAGGAUUAGAUACCCUGGUAGUCG